Molecule: ribosomal RNA, 253 nt
Filed under: uncultured bacterium
Lineage: Bacteria
Description: partial 16S ribosomal RNA
Rfam family: Bacterial small subunit ribosomal RNA
Source: RNAcentral
UACAGAGGUCCCGAGCGUUGUUCGGAUUCACUGGGCGUAAAGGGUGCGUAGGCGGCUUUGCAAGUCUGAUGUGAAAUCUCUGGGCUUAACCCGGAAAUGGCAUUAGAAACUGUGAGGCUUGAGGCUUGGAGGGGGAACUGGAAUUCUCGGUGUAGCAGUGAAAUGCGUAGAGAUCGAGAGGAACACCAGUGGCGAAGGCGAGUUCCUGGACAAGUCCUGACACUGAGGCACGAAGGCCGGGGGAGCAAACAGG